RNAcentral lists this ribosomal RNA (254 nucleotides) under uncultured bacterium. RNAcentral describes it as "partial 16S ribosomal RNA". It matches the Rfam family "Bacterial small subunit ribosomal RNA", at positions 524 to 776 of the family's 1533-position model. The record is from RNAcentral.
UACGGAGGAUCCAAGCGUUAUCCGGAAUUACUGGGCGUAAAGAGUUGCGUAGGCGGUUAAGUAAGCAGUGUGUGAAAUGAUGGGGCUCAACCCCAUGUCCAUACAUUGAACUGCUUUGACUAGAGAAUGGGAGAGGUCGCUAGAAUUCCUGGUGUAGGGGUGAAAUCCGUAGAUAUCAGAGGAAUACCGAUGGCGUAGGCAGGCGACUGGCCCAUUUCUGACGCUCAGGCACGAAAGCGUGGGGAGCGAUCGGG